Long non-coding RNA from Pyrus x bretschneideri (Chinese white pear), 1990 nucleotides. RefSeq lists it as uncharacterized. NCBI's taxonomy places the organism in Eukaryota, Viridiplantae, Streptophyta, Magnoliopsida, Rosales, Rosaceae. The transcript is spliced from 3 exons. The record is from RefSeq and is a predicted model, not a curated record.
GAGUGAAUUAAGGGGUUGCCGUGUCCUUCCCUCAUAGUUUCGGGGAAAUGAAGCUCUCACAGAGAGCGGAAGAAACGGAGAGACAGAGAGACAGACAAAGAGAGAAAGAGAGAGAGACAUACAGAGAGAGAAAGAGAGAGAGAGACACAGAGAGAGAUAGAGAUGCCAAGGGGAAGACAGCGCAGGGGAGAGUGUCAUUUGCUGUCCUUCAAUGAGGGUUUCGGGGGGAUGGAGACUCUGACAGAGAGCGGAAGAAAGAGAGAGAGAGAGAGAGAGAGAGAGAGAGAGAGAUGACGAUGGAAAGAGAGCGAAGGGGAAAGCUAUCAGUCAUGGAUUUCAGAAGUGGGGAUACGGAUUAUCCGGAUCUACCGCUGCAUGCCUGGAUUUCGAAAGCUAAGUGCUUCUAAAAUUUUUUUUUUUUCUAUCAGCUUAGAUCUGCCUUUUUGUUGUGGAUUAUUUUCGAAUUUUUUAGUGUGUUACGUCAGAUUUUGGGGGAAUCAUCAGAGAUAUUUAUUUGCCUUAUUAGUUUUGUUUUCUCUCAUUUUGCACAUUGAUCUCUCUGUCUGCAUAUUUGUUCUCAGUCUUAAGGUCCGUAAUUUUUUUUUUUUUUUUUUUUUGGGGUUUUUUGUAUGGCUUUUUUUUUUCUUUUUGUUUUCCAGGUUAUAGAUCUAAUGCUCUUUUGUGUACCAAUCUUGGUUUAGUUUUCUUUUCUCUCAUUUUACACAUUCAUCUCUCUCUCUCUCUGCGUGUUUGUUCUCUGUCUUAAGGUCCGUAAUAUUUUUUUUUUUUUUGGGGUUUUUUGUAUGGCUUUUUUUGUUUUCUUUUUGUUUUCCAGGUUAUAGAUCUAAUGCUCUUUUGUAUACCAAUUUUGGUUUUGUUUUUCUUGGAAAAUUGUUUUUAUCUGAUUGUGGAUUCGUGGGUUUUAAUUCCUAUCGUUUGUUGCAGGUUGCAAAGCAGGAAGUUCUUACCUGAAGAUUCAGUUUAAGGUUGCAAAGCAGGAAGUUCUCACCUGAAGCUUCAGUUUAAGGUACUGUUAUUAUUAUUUUUAGUUCUUAGAAUUUAAUGUUUCGAACUGAUAUGAUAAUUUGGUUGUGAAAUGUGGGAUUUGUGUUCGCCUUCUGUUGCGUAUGUGAUGUUGUCUAUUGUUAUUACUGGGUGGAGAUUGCAUGUAUUGCGGAUGUUUUUGGAAAUACAAAAAUUUUUUUUAGCACUAAAGUUAUAUUGGUUGUAAAAUGGUUUUGGAAGAUGAUUGUCUCAUUAUAUAAACUGCAUGUAUAAGGAUAUGGUGAGAAAACUAAUUAAACUGAAUCUUGGUGAUGAUUUUGUUCUUCGGAAGUUGUUAUAAAGCGAUUCAAUUUAGUUGCUAUUUCUGUUUAUGCUUCCAAACUCGAUUUUUGAGAGGUUUUUGGUCACCAAAUUUUUAUUGUUUUUAUGGUUCAUUUUUUAUUAAAGUUUUUCAAUUGUUUUAUAUUGGGUUGCAAAUGUUUAUGGAAGUACAAGAUUUUGUGAUUUUGUGGAUGUGAAGAAUUUGUGCAUGCCGAGCUUGAUAAUGAGUCACCGAUAGAUAACAGCCCUCAAAUUUAUCAGAGUUUAGAGUGUGUGCAUUGAACUCUUUAACUUAGUAGCAUUUCCUAAAAACAAAGAGCAUGAUGACUAUUUUUCUAAUACUAAUUAAUACCAAUUUGCUAAUUCAUUACCUAACGCGGAAUUAAAAGAAAAAGGUCAAAAUUCAUGGUCUUUUUUGUUGUUCUGGCCUUCAAAGUCUUCGGAAGUAGGAACUUAAAAUACGACUUGCCACAUAGUGGGAAGAUGCAAGGAUUUUCUGGAUAUAGAUUAGUGUUGUGAUAUGCCUGAUUCAUGGACACUUGGAUACCUACGUGUAUGUAAUUUAUUGUAAAUAUGUUAAUCAUUGUAAAUGUGAUUAUAAAUAAAUUUUCACAUGUAUGUAAAUAUGUUGGUAAUUAUAGUUUCUGGUAUCUUUUUGCUGAAA